RNAcentral lists this ribosomal RNA (470 nucleotides) under uncultured bacterium. RNAcentral's name for it is "partial 16S ribosomal RNA". It matches the Rfam family "Bacterial small subunit ribosomal RNA", at positions 331 to 792 of the family's 1533-position model. The record is from RNAcentral.
CCAGACUCCUACGGGAGGCAGCAGUGGGGAAUCUUCCGCAAUGGGCGCAAGCCUGACGGAGCAAUGCCGCGUGAACGAAGAAGGUCUUCGGAUUGUAAAGUUCUGUCCUUAUCGAAGAGAGGGUAUAGAGUGAAAAAUGAUAUACUAGGACGGUAGAUGAGGAGGAAGCACCGGCUAACUCCGUGCCAGCAGCCGCGGUAAUACGGAGGGCGCGAGCGUUAAUCGGAAUUACUGGGCGUAAAGCGCUCGUAGGCGGUAUGUCAAGUCAAGGGUGAAAUCCCCGCGCUCAACGUGGGAACUGCCUUUGAAACUGGCUGUCUUGAGAUGUCGAGAGGUAUGCGGAAUGCGCAGUGUAGCGGUGAAAUGCUUAGAUAUUGCGCAGAACUCCGAUUGCGAAGGCAGCAUACCGGCGGCGAUCUGACGCUGAGGCACGAAAGCGUGGGUAUCGAACAGGAUUAGAUACCCGUGUA